GCUGGGCAUGGUGGUGCAUGCCUGUAAUCCCAGCUACUUGGGAGGCUGAGGCACCAGAAUCACUUGAACCCAGGAGGCGGAGGUUGCAGUGAGCUGAGAUUGUACCACUGCACUCCAGCCUGGGUGACAGAGUGAGAUUCUGUCUCAA
Molecule: non-coding RNA, 148 nt
Filed under: Nomascus leucogenys (northern white-cheeked gibbon)
Lineage: Eukaryota; Metazoa; Chordata; Mammalia; Primates; Hylobatidae
Source: Rfam by way of RNAcentral